UCGCGAGCGGUCGACCUUUCGUGCGCGGCUUCGAUAUUUAUCGAAGUCCUCGCCGCGGGCGUAACAAUAUAAUCAUUUCUAAAUUCAUAAAACUGUAUUAUAAUGCAUAAAAAUAUAUAUAAAAUUAAAAUUUGAUUAAGUUAAACAACAUCUUUUGAAUUUAACAAGAGAUAACAAACAUGAAAUAAAGCGAGCUUGGAAAAAUUCCACUUAGCAACGGGUUCCAUUACUUUAAACAUCAUCAUUUGGAAUUACGUAAAAUAUCUCAUGAGAUAGAUUCAAUAUUUGGAGCACAGAUGACUUUUAAAAUGGGAUGUAAUUUCUUUUGGUUAGCACAAGAUUUACGUGAACUUUUCAGUGUGAUACUCAUCAACAAUUAUAUCAAAUCUGAUAAAACAUUAUUCACUGUUAUAAUGCUAUUCCGGC
Long non-coding RNA from Camponotus floridanus (Florida carpenter ant), 426 nucleotides. RefSeq lists it as uncharacterized. The record is from RefSeq and is a predicted model, not a curated record. Lineage: Eukaryota; Metazoa; Arthropoda; Insecta; Hymenoptera; Formicidae. The transcript is spliced from 3 exons.